CGUCUCUCCUUUGGCGCCUUUUCAAAUAAUGUCGCGAGGCAAAGCAGCUCUCUAAACGAAGAAGAAACGCUACCAAAACACCCUGAAGCUAACAGUUUUCUUCAGCAAACACUUAAUGCUACGCUACGGAGACAUUAUGCUCUCAAAUGGACGCCUUACUGCUUUAAUUGACAACUGUUGCUCCGUUUCAUCGUCGUCGACAUCGACUUUGUACUCCCGUUUGUCCGAUUUGAGGGUACAACCUGCGGAGAGAAGGACGUACGGAACCUGUAACUAAUGCCAGGUGUUAGCACAACAAGACGACAAAGACAUGGAGUAAUGUGAGGUCACGCUGACGGACGUGGGACAGAGCCACUGGAAAACGGGAAUGUCUAGUGAUGGUACCGACGGUUGAACCAAUAGGAAAGGACAAAAGGAGGAGAAGGCGGGACAAACGACUGGUACUUCUCCAGUGAAUGAACACUAGAGGGAGCUGUAGUGCUGUGGAUUGAGGAACCCGCCAGGCCCAUGGAGCAGGCCGGGUUGUACACGUUGUUGUAGCCGUUGCUGUAGACGUUGGAGGCGGCCAGCGAGUAGUCCGUGUCCCCGGUCCUGUUCGGCAGCAUGCAGCCGCUGGACUGGUCCGAACUGUUGAGGAUCUGGUCGAUCCCGAAGCUGAUGGGUUCGUGCUGCUGCUGGUGGGUUUGGUUCACCUCCUCGAUGCCGGUGUGCUCCAUACUUUAUCUUAUGCAAUUAUCACAAUUAAUUAUGUUCUUUUUUUUAUAAACAAUAACAAUCAAUGCUCAGUGUUCUCUUCAAAACAAUUUCAAGCAUCCACACCCGCCUCAGUGGUCCACAGGAACAGGUCCAGCGCGUCAGAGGUCCAACAUGUUGCCAUCAUUUGGCGUCCAGCAGCGUGUUGGACUUUAGGAGACUGCAUAUUCCAUCUUCAAGACCAGCCAAAAACACUCACUGACAAAAAUCCUCCCUCUGAGGUGACCGGGUCCCCCCGAGAGCCUGCAUGGGCCCUGAAUGCUGUUGGUGAUGAUCCAGAUCCACGACCAGAACCGAAGCAGCCGCAAAAAGCCAAACCAUGACGCGAUUGACGUGGACUUUAAUUUUGCAGACUAGCGCUGCAAAGCAAGGUGGGAACUUGUGUUGCGUUCAAGUGCAGGUGAGAAGAAGCUCUGCGUAAACGCUGCCAUUCGGUCGUACCCUCCUCCUCAUCUUCAUCCUCCUCCUCCUCCUCCUCGUUGUCUUCAUCAUCCUGCUCCUGGCGAAAGUGGACGUGCUCUCAUCUCUUAAAGGUACAGCAUCUUUUCUUGUUCCUCUGCAGACAUGAUGGAACCAAUUGGGGUGUUUGUGUCUUUUAAUGAUGCUGGAGGCCGACAUCCAGCCAGCUCAUUAUUAAUACUGUCUAGUCUAAUAUUGGCAUUAUUAUUAUUAUUAUUAUGCAUUUCAUUUGGACACACAAAGCCCCUUUAAAACUGCAAUCAUUUGCAAACAAGCAGGUAGAAUUUUCAUAUUUUAUAUUUAUUAUUUUCCUUCCAGUCACAAUGCUGCAGAAAUAGUUUAAUAUUUAUUUGUAUUUAUUUUAUUAUAGUGCAGUAAUACACACUUAGAUUUAUUUUAACCAAAUAAAAAAAAAAAUCAAGAUGUAUCUAUGGAAGUAA
Molecule: non-coding RNA, 1652 nt
Organism: Doryrhamphus excisus (bluestripe pipefish)
Lineage: Eukaryota; Metazoa; Chordata; Actinopteri; Syngnathiformes; Syngnathidae
Source: RefSeq, a predicted model, not a curated record